Molecule: long non-coding RNA, 1111 nt
Filed under: Lathyrus oleraceus (garden pea)
Lineage: Eukaryota; Viridiplantae; Streptophyta; Magnoliopsida; Fabales; Fabaceae
Description: Pisum sativum (pea) long non-coding RNA (PSAT_LNC022932)
Source: RNAcentral
UGGUGAGAUCUUAAAUUGUCGAAUAAUCCUUUAUAUAUAAGUUUCGGGGUUUAGUGUGUAGCAGUGCUACCCUCAAGGUAUGAUACACUAGAUUUAUUUUCCUUUCUUACUUUUAGGGCUGCUACCCUCAAGGAACGGUACACCCGAAAAUCUAAUUACUCUCUUGGAACUAAGUGUUCCAAUUCAUCUUGAUUCUUACUACGUGCUAAUUUACUUCAAUGAUCCAUUUCAUUGCAUGUUAAUCACCGAAAGGGCGAGGCCUUCCUAAAUUCACAACAACAAAGUCAAAACAACAGUGAUCCAAUGAGGAUGACGAUCUGGUCGUCAUGGUCAUAACGGUUGUCAUCCUGUGACGCUCACAAGGAGGGUCACCCAUCAGCAUACACUAACGAUCUGGUCGUCUGGGAGAGCACCUAUCAGCUAUCGCCGACGGUCGUCACAAGCAACGACGCCUAUCUUUUGUGCGGUAGGCGAUGACUAUCGGUCCGUCAUCGUGUCCAAAACACGUUUUCUUUUGCAGAAAUGCAACACACACCCCAAAAAUUCCAAACUUACACCUCUUUGCAACACAUGUAGUUUAUAACGGCAUCCAAACAUGGCACACGCAAGAAAUUUCAUGGUAAUGCGCAAAUAUACUAUAAAUUAACAUAAAACUUUACUCUAAAAAGUAAUCAAACAUGCAUUUUCAAAGAAACUCUCAUGAAAAUCCCAUUUUUCAAAAUAUGCAAAUAACCCCAAAUUUCAGUAUUGAAACUCUCUAACUAUUAUAAACUCACCUUUAUAUCAAGAAAGUAAAAAUUGAGAGUAGAAAAAAAUGAGUAGCACUUCAAAGCUCCCUACCAAGACUUCAAAAAUUCCACACUCAAGCCUUACUUUUCCUUUUUUUCCUUCUUCUUCCCAUCCUUUCCCGUCCUCCCUCUUUUUCUCUCUCAAAUCUCUUACUUUGAGUUUUGAUUCGGAAAACACAAGGAGUGAGAGAAGUAAGGUGGAAUACUAGAAAAAGACUCAUCAUGGGAGAUGAUUAAUUCGACAUACAGUCAUGUGUAAUUUACUUAGUUUGUCAUUAAUUCCAUCCUAACUACUCCCUUGGGAUCUCUAGCUUACUAGUAAG